Molecule: long non-coding RNA, 3936 nt
Filed under: Homo sapiens (human)
Lineage: Eukaryota; Metazoa; Chordata; Mammalia; Primates; Hominidae
Description: HSALNT0212577
Source: RNAcentral
UCUUUCUUUUCCUCUUCCAUCAAAUAUAGAAUCCAGAUUUGGUGGAUUUGACAGGCAAUAGGGCCCAUAGGCCAUAUUAUACUCUUCAGAUAUGAUCAGAUUUAUAGAUGCUCCAUUAUUUUAUGAGCUAUAAAGUGUAACCAGUUAAACCAUAACACAAUGCUUUCUUUAGAAUUUUAUUAUGUUCUUUAUGUACUCAUAUAUGUACAUUAUUAUAUACUUAUUGAAAGAGCUCAGACUUUUUUAGACUUGUAUCAUGGACAAUAGGAGGAAACCAAAUUUGCUAAAAUUCUCUUCUGAAUCCCUUGUCAGAGUCUUUUUUUUUUUUUUUUUUUUGAGACAAAGUUUCACACUGUCACCCAGGCUGGAGUGCAGUAGCGCGAUCUCGGCUCACCGCAACCUCCGCCUCCCGGGUUCAAGCAAUUCUCCUGCCUCAGCCUCCCGAGUAGCUGAGAUUACAGGCACCCACCACCACACCCAGCUAAUUUUUUGUAUUUUUAGUAGAGACAUAGUUUCACCAUGUUGGUCAGGCUAGUCUCGAACUCCUGACCUCAUGAUUCACCCGCCUCAGCCUCCCAAAGUGCUGGGAUUACAGGCAUGGGCCACCGUGCCCGGCCCAGAGUCUUUAAGUGCCUGUUUUUCACACACCGUUGCCUGCUGUGCCAUCAAUAGAACUGAAAAUGCAGCAUUUCUUUUUCUUUCUCUCUCUCUCGCCUCCCUCCCUCCCUUACUCCCUUCCUUCCUUCAGCAUGAUCUCGGCUCACUGCAACCUCCAUCUCCCAGGUUGAAGUAAUUCGCCUGCCUCAGCCACCCAAGUAGCUGGGAUUACAGGCAUGCGGCACCACAUCCGGCUAAUUUUGUAUUUUUAGUAAAGACGGAGUUUCAUCAUGUUGCUCAGGCUGGUCUUGAACUUCUGGGCUCGAGCGAUCCGCCCACCUCAGCCUGCCAAAGUGCUGGGAUUAUAGGCAUGAGCCAUUGCACCCUGGCUAGCAUUUCGUAAGCCAGUACUACACUAUGAUCAUCAGCAUUUUCUCUCUGGGUACCCACUAUGCAACUUUUGAUACUGGAGCUUGAUCUUACCAGGAGGUAAGAUUAAUGGAAGUUUUUGAGACAAAAGACAGGACUCACAUUCCUGUCUCAAAUAGGCAGGCAAUGACACUAAGUCAUGACUGCUAUCUGGCCAACAGCAAUUGUAAGACACCAUUAAUCCUAAAGUGAGAUCAAUUGUAUGCUCUAUCUCAAUAUCAGAGAUGCUAAAAUGUGAAAAUUGAUGAACUGAGACAGUUCUUAUGAGGCCACCUUUUGGGUUAUCCUAAAGGUGAUACCCAAUCUAGCCCAUGAGCAACGGCCCCAGCCUUAUCCACUGACAGGCAUCACUUUAUCACACCAGGUCAGACUGGGCCAAGUGCCUCCUGGACAUUUGGAAUUGGGACUAGUCUCGUGUCAAGAAAAUGUCAACACUAGGCACUGUGGAAUUGACCUCUGCCACCAUGGGGAGGUGUGCACCCAAAGCUGGGCUGCAGGGAGAGGAGGGAGGCUGACACACAGAGAGGGGCCAAGAUAAGCUAUAGAGAAGGCAGCCUCCCAAGGGCCAAUGUUGCACACUCAGGCCUUUGAAGCUAGGGCAGUUUCUCCAGCAGGUCAUGCCUAUACCACGGGUCACUGACGUCAGGGAGGCAGCCAGCUCCCCAGGGCAUGAACGAUGGAGCACAUAUUAGCUUCCUAUGGUUGCUGUAACAAAUUAUCACAAAUGAAGUGGCUUAAAACAACACAAACGUAUUAUCUCACAGUUCUGGAGAAUAGAGACCCAAAAUGGGUCUGUAGACCUGCAUUCUAUCUGGAGGCUCUCAGGGAGAAUCUGUUUCCCUGGCUUUUCUAGCUUCUAGAGGCUGUCCGCAUUCAUUGGCUUGUGGCCUCACAUCACUCCAACCCCUGCUUCUGUCGUCACAUUUCCUCUGAUGCCGACAUGCCUGCUCCCUAAGGACCCACCCAGAUAAUCCAGAACCAAUCUCCCCACCUCAAGAUUCUUAAUCCCAUCUGCAAAGUCUUAUUUGUCAUAUGAAUUAACAAUCAUGGGUUCCAGGGACUCGGAAAUGGAUAUCUUGGGGGACCAUUACUCAGCCUACUACUACCCUCAGCACAGAGACUGAAAGAGGGUUCCCCUUAAUGGUAUUUUUCUGUAAUCAGGCCUUUUUCUUUAAGAAUAUUUUAAACAGCAUAACAAAGCACAGCUGACUUUUUUCCCCCAUUUUACAGACAGGGUCUUGUUAUGUUGUUCAGGCUGGACUCAAAACUCCUGGGCUCAAGUGAUCCUCACCUCAGCCUCCCAAGCAGCUGGCACUACGGACAUGCACCACCACGCCCUGCUAGAGCUGGUUUUUUAUACAACUCUAGGGACAAUACCCAUUGCCACUUAUUAAAUGCCUACUGUGUGCCAGGGAGAGAAGGAAAGCAACAUUAUCGGCCCCAUUUAAGGAGGUCACUUGCCCAAGGUAGUCCAAAUGGCCGGUGGCAGGCAGACGAGCUCACAUCUGCCUCCCUUGACAGGCACUGAUGUUGAGGUUGUAUUUCUUCCCUUGGCGUCCAUAACGCAGACCCUAAAGUCUUGUUUGUGUUGGAGAGCUUUGGAGCCUUAAAUUUAGAGGCGCUUCACACAGCUCAUGCCACCUGCAGAAGUACCAGAGAGCCUGGCAUAGGCCAAAGAACUGGCAAAGCCUUCAGUCUCUCCUCACCACCUCAGGAAAUUGAAUCUGUUCUCCCUCCUAGUAACUCACUUAGCCAAAUGACUACACUUGUUGGGCACUAACCCCAUGUCCAAGGGACAACUAUGAGCUGGUCCAGUGAUGGAGGAGGUGGGUGGCAGCUGGGUCACACUCCUGCCACAGAUUUGGUACCCAGAACAGUCAUUAAGGUUUUGUCAAGGGAUGGACAAGCCAGAGAGAGGAGAGAUGGGCCUUCAUGAGGAUAUCAACAAAGUCCCUACAAAAAAGUCGGAGGUAGAUAAAAAUAUUAGGCAGGAAAGAGAUGUAAUGGAUUCAUCCCACUGAGGCAUGAACAAUUAAUUGCCACCUGUCAAUUGUCAAUGGGGAGAAUUCCAUCCACCCAAUCAUUUAAAGCAAGCUGGAACCGGUUACAAUGAGAAUUAGCCAAGGAUGAAAUUUAAAGGAUGCCCGGGGGCAAGUGAUGUAAUGGGUUGCAAAACAAACGUCAGAUAAAAGGCAUGGGCUCAGGGGGCCUGGUGCCAGAGCAGACGGCAUCCUAUAGAGACUAUCUUUUACUCUGGAGAAGCUAGAGCAGUACACACAGUAUUCGACAUUCAGGGGUGGGGCCUGAGAUUCUGUAUUUCCAAUGAACUCCCAGGUGAUGCUGAACAGCUGCCAUCUGUGGGUCAUCUCGAAUAGCAAGGGAUGAGAUGACUCUUAAGAGACAACUCAAGCUGUUCACUGCAGCAAAAAUAAAACGAGUGGGGUGAAUGCAGAUGUCACAGGGCUGUUUGGUGCCGUGGAAAAAUGAAGGUGGGGCUUAUCAUCAAGAAGUCCUUUACACAUCCAUGACUUUCUGUCCAACUCAUAGGAGACUGUGAAGAAAUUACCUUUUCCUUUUUAAAAUGAAGAAACUGAAGUGUAAGAAGAUUGAACACAGCAGGGUCAAAAACAUUAGGAGUAGAUACAGGUGCCCCACACCAUCCUUGACCCCACACACACUUCCAGAAAACAUCAAGCAAGGAGCAGGCAAAGAGCUGUCAUAGGAGUGUGGUUUUUUUAAUACCAUCUGUGCCAAGCAAUAUCAAAGUUGUCCAUACUCUCCAAGUUUGUCCUAUUUUUAAUAGACAAUAUUAAAAAUUUUUUAAGUGUGUGCUGAUAAAGAGACUAGUCACACCUCUGAGGGGAUUUAAAAAUGAGAUUGGAGAAAUGAAUACAGCAGAUGGAACAGAUA